Molecule: ribosomal RNA, 465 nt
Filed under: uncultured bacterium
Lineage: Bacteria
Description: partial 16S ribosomal RNA
Rfam family: Bacterial small subunit ribosomal RNA
Source: RNAcentral
GACGAACGCUGGCGGCGUGCUUAACACAUGCAAGUCGAACGAAAAGGCCCCUUUUGGGGUCCUCGAGUGGCGAACGGGUUAGUAACACGCGCGUAACCUGCCCUUGACUUCCGGAUAACUUCAGUAAACUGGGGUUAUUACCGGAUAGCAAUCCUUUCUGCAUUGUGGGGGUUGGAAAGCUUCGUCGGUUUUGGAUGGACUCGCGGCCUAUCAGCUUCUUGGUGGCGUAGUGGCUUACCAAGGCUUUGACGAGUAGCCAGCCUUGGAGGGCGACCGGCCACAGUGGGACUGAGAUACAGCCCAGACUCCUACGGGAGGGAGCAGCGGCGAAUAGUGCUAUAUGGGCGGAGGCCUGAUGCAGCAACGGCGCGGGCGGGAGGACGGCGUUGGGGUUGUAAUCCGAUUUCAGCAGGAGCGAAGCUUGUGAUGACGGUACCUGCAGAAGAAGCACCGGCUAACUACGUG